UAUGUGAUCGUCUCUCGCAUAUCAAUAAGCGGAGGAAAAGAAACUAACAAGGAUUCCCCUAGUAACGGCGAGUGAAGCGGGAAGAGCUCAAAUUUGAAAUCUUAAAGGGUUUCCCUUUACGAAUUGUAGUUUAAAGAAGUGUUUUCUGUUGAGGUUUUGGUAAAAGUUCUUUGGAAUAGGACAUCAUAGAGGGUGAGAAUCCCGUAUUUGACCUUUACUUUCAACUUUGUGAUACACUUUCAAAGAGUCGGAUUGUUUGGGAAAUGCAGUCCAAAAUGGGUGGUAAAUUUCAUCUAAAGCUAAAUAUUGGCGAGAGACCGAUAGCGAACAAGUACCGUGAGGGAAAGAUGAAAAGAACUUUGAAAAGAGAGUUAAACAGUACGUGAAAUUGUCAAAAGGGAAGCGUUUGACACCAGUGUUGUUUUUCUGAAAAUCAAUUAAAGAACUGUUUAUGCUAAGCUGUUUAGACUUUAUCAGCUAUCUGCUUAGUUUUGAGCUUUUCUUUAAUGCACUUUUCAGUUAACAAGUCAACAUCAAUUUCUUUUGCUGUAAAAAAGCUUGAGGAAGGUGGCUUGAGAUUCGUCUUAAGUGUUUAUAGCCUCUUGCCUAUGCAGUCGGAGAGAUUGAGGUCUGCAGCGUAGAUCCUUCGGGGCUAAAUGCAUUUGUGCUAAGUUAUAGCAUUUUAUAGACAACUUGUUGACUAUGAUUUGUCUUGUAGCUUACUCGCUUAUGUUAUUUUACCUACGCUUAGGAUGUUGAUCUACAGAGCGAGAGU
RNAcentral lists this ribosomal RNA (775 nucleotides) under uncultured Neocallimastigales. RNAcentral's name for it is "partial large subunit ribosomal RNA". It matches the Rfam family "Eukaryotic large subunit ribosomal RNA", at positions 24 to 635 of the family's 3401-position model. Lineage: Eukaryota; Fungi; Neocallimastigomycota; Neocallimastigomycetes; Neocallimastigales. The record is from RNAcentral.